RNAcentral lists this ribosomal RNA (253 nucleotides) under uncultured bacterium. Its description in RNAcentral is "partial 16S ribosomal RNA". It matches the Rfam family "Bacterial small subunit ribosomal RNA", at positions 524 to 776 of the family's 1533-position model. The record is from RNAcentral.
UACGUAGGGUGCAAGCGUUGUCCGGAAUUAUUGGGCGUAAAGAGCUCGUAGGCGGUUUGUCGCGUCUGCUGUGAAAACUCGGGGCUUAACCCCGGGCCUGCAGUGGGUACGGGCAGACUAGAGUGCGGUAGGGGAGACUGGAAUUCCUGGUGUAGCGGUGAAAUGCGCAGAUAUCAGGAGGAACACCGGUGGCGAAGGCGGGACUCUGGGCCGAUACUGACGCUGAGGAGCGAAAGCGUGGGGAGCGAACAGG